GAACUCGGGACCUUGCGCUUGCGAGGCAGGCGGCAGAACCACUGAGCUAAAUCCCCAGCCCUUGUAACAACUAAUAUUAUUGAAAGAAAGUUACAUUAUCUUCAUUCGUAAUGACAGAAGAAAUACAAAUGGCUGAUAAAUACAUGAAGAAGCACUCAGCAUCUCUGGCCAUUAGAGAAAUGCAAAUUAAAACAACACUAAGAAUCCAUGUUACCCCAGAAAGAAUGGCCAUAAUCAAGCAUUCAAAUAGGAACCCUUCUACAAUGUUGAUGAACAUUGGAAACGACAAUUUCUACAUGUGUGAAGGAUAUAUUGAAGGCUUGUGGUUUACAGACAAGAUCUUUAGAAAUUAGACACUCAAGGACCAGGUAAAUAAAUACCAGAAACCAAGAAUACUUUUCUUCAUCAGUCCGCACAACCCUCACCCUUCUGUAAUUCCAUCAAACACAGAGAAAUGACCACCUUGGCAAAUGGCCACAGAGGAUGUCAACCAUUUUUUGGAGGCAAGU
Molecule: non-coding RNA, 509 nt
Organism: Heterocephalus glaber (naked mole-rat)
Lineage: Eukaryota; Metazoa; Chordata; Mammalia; Rodentia; Bathyergidae
Source: RefSeq, a predicted model, not a curated record